AUGCAUUUCAAAGAGUAAAAGUUGAUGAAGUCCAGUUUGCUAAUGAAAGGCUGCAGGACAAUUCCUAUUGGGCUCUGGAUGAUUCAGGAUCUGGUUAUGGUGCAAAGGCUCAAGAAGUUCUGGGUCAAGUUAAAGGAAGGGAUUUCAGGCAUGAGAAGACCAA
Long non-coding RNA from Phalaenopsis equestris, 163 nucleotides. RefSeq lists it as uncharacterized. The record is from RefSeq and is a predicted model, not a curated record. The transcript has 3 exons. NCBI's taxonomy places the organism in Eukaryota, Viridiplantae, Streptophyta, Magnoliopsida, Asparagales, Orchidaceae.